GUUUGUGGGUUUCAAGGCAUCGUUUUUGAGGUUCGCAUCACACGUCUUAAUCCAAAAUGGAAAGGAGCUAUGGUAGAGGAGAUGAGAGUUUUGACAAAAAAUGGGACAUGGGAUCUUAUUUCUCUUCCAUAGGAAAAAAACCAGUGGGAUGCAAGUGGAUGUUCACAGUUAAACAUAAUGCAAAUGGUUCCAUUAAAAAGUAUAAAGGCAGGUUAAUGGCUAAAGGCUUCACUCAUACAUAUGGAGUGGAUUAUUAGGAGACUUUUGCCCUAUUACAAAAAUGAAUAUCAUCAGAAUCUUAUUGCCAUGUGCCGCAAAUCUUGAGUGGAACCUACAACAAUUUGAUGUAAAGAAUACUUUUUUGCAUGGAGAC
Molecule: unclassified non-coding RNA, 373 nt
Filed under: Hevea brasiliensis (rubber tree)
Lineage: Eukaryota; Viridiplantae; Streptophyta; Magnoliopsida; Malpighiales; Euphorbiaceae
Source: RNAcentral